UUUGAUCAGUGGCUCGAGGACGAACGCUGGCGGCGUGCUUAACACAUGCAAGUCGAACGGGACCAGGGGCAACUCUGGUUCAGUGGCGGACGGGUGCGUAACACGUGAGGAACAUGACUUUCGGUGGGGGAUAGCCGGCCCAACGGCCGGGUAAUACCGCGUACGACCAUUUGGGGACAUCCCCGAGUGGUGAAAGCAGCAAUGCGCCGAAAGAGUGCCUCGCGGCCUAUCAGCUAGUUGGUGGGGUAAUGGCUCACCAAGGCAACGACGGGUAGCUGGUCUGAGAGGAUGGCCAGCCACAUUGGGACUGAGACACGGCCCAGACUCCUACGGGAGGCAGCAGUGGGGAAUAUUGCGCAAUGGGCGAAAGCCUGACGCAGCGACGCCGCGUGGGUGAUGAAGGCCUUCGGGUUGUAAAGCCCUGUCGCCUGGGACGAACAAGCUCGUGAAGAACGAGCUCUGACGGUACCAGGAGAGGAAGCACCGGCUAACUCUGUGCCAGCAGCCGCGGUAAUAC
RNAcentral lists this ribosomal RNA (517 nucleotides) under uncultured Pseudomonadota bacterium. RNAcentral's name for it is "bacterial SSU rRNA". It matches the Rfam family "Bacterial small subunit ribosomal RNA", at positions 1 to 526 of the family's 1533-position model. Lineage: Bacteria; Pseudomonadati; Pseudomonadota. The record is from RNAcentral.